AGUUUAGUCAGCUAAUUUAAGCUAUUGGGCCCAUACCCCAAAAAUGUUGGUUAAAACCCUUCCUCAACUA
Molecule: transfer RNA, 70 nt
Filed under: Trixiphichthys weberi (blacktip tripodfish)
Lineage: Eukaryota; Metazoa; Chordata; Actinopteri; Tetraodontiformes; Triacanthidae
Description: tRNA-Met
Rfam family: tRNA
About the family: Transfer RNA (tRNA) molecules are approximately 80 nucleotides in length. Their secondary structure includes four short double-helical elements and three loops (D, anti-codon, and T loops).
Source: RNAcentral